Molecule: long non-coding RNA, 722 nt
Organism: Chroicocephalus ridibundus (black-headed gull)
Lineage: Eukaryota; Metazoa; Chordata; Aves; Charadriiformes; Laridae
Exons: 3
Source: RefSeq, a predicted model, not a curated record
CGGAGCUGCCCGCAGCGACACCGGCGGUGAGGGAGGGCGGGCACGGGCUGUCCCCGGCACGGGCACCUCGGCCACGGGGACGCCGGUGGCCUGGAAGGAGCCAAGGGGAGGGCAAAUGGCACAGCAGCAGGGCAUGGCAGGAAGGUUUGGAGGUCCUCCUUGAUCCAAGGUCUCUGGCGUCCUUCUCCUUAGGAACCAGGUGCACCUCCAGCCCUGAGACAUGUCCUGCUACAACCAGUGCCUGCCCUGUGGCCCCACCCCACUGGCCAACAGCUGCAAUGAGCCCUGCAUCAGGCAGUGCCAGAACUCCACCGUCGUCAUUGAGCCUCCUGCUGUGGUGGUGACCCUGCCUGGCCCCAUCCUCAGCUCCUUCCCACAGAACACCGUUGUGGGAUCCUCCACCUCCGCUGCCAUUGGCAGCAUCCUCAGCUGUGAUGGAGUGCCCAUCACCUCUGGGUGCUGUGACCUCUCUGGCAUUUCCAGAUGCUACAGUGGCAGAAGGUGCCUCCCCUGCUAAAGACUCUGGGGAAACCCCAGGGAGACACCCUGAGGAACUCAGAACAUGGUGCUGGGCAAAGGAUCGAUGUUUUCAAUGCUGCUUUCAGCAUAGCUGAAUGACUUUGGUUUUCUCUCCCUUUUCCUUGUUUGCUUCACAUCCCCUUAGCAGCAAGGUUCCCACAAGGCUACCCUGGUGGGGACCAUCUGUCUUCCUCAUCCUCUAU